This is a long non-coding RNA of Nicotiana tabacum (common tobacco), 860 nucleotides long. RefSeq lists it as uncharacterized. The record is from RefSeq and is a predicted model, not a curated record. NCBI's taxonomy places the organism in Eukaryota, Viridiplantae, Streptophyta, Magnoliopsida, Solanales, Solanaceae.
UGCAGCGUGUGUAAAAAACAAGCCUAACUACGUUAUACACGUCGUUGCUCAUUUCAUAUUGUUAAAUUUAUGGUGUCAAUUGAUGGUUCCACUAUUAUGUGGACAGACCCACGUCACAAAUUGGCUUUUGUGAAUUUCUUAAGCAUUUUAUUUCUAUUUUCAUUAUUCACUCUCUCUCUCUCUCUCUCUCUUGUUGUGCUUCUUCUUCAGCUUUUCUCUGUUUGCUCUUUUCUCUUUUUAUGGAAAGUCCAUGAAGAUAUGUACUUGCUCAGUAUCAUUCUGAAUCAACAAAUUAGAAGGAUUUCAACACAGGUACCUUUAAUCUCAUGGUUGCAGGAAAUUAUAUUGUAUUUUGUUUGGCUACUGGCGUUCAGCUCAAAUUCAGGAGCUCAGGUAUGUACUUUUGUGACAUUUAAAACUAAAAAGACGGUGCAUACUUACAUUGGGCCUUGUAGUUUGAAAUUUUAAGGGUUUCUUUUACCAGCUUGCGUGAUAAGAAACUUAUUUUCAGGACUCAAGGUAUAUACUUUUAUUACAUUUAUAACUUAAAACACGGCGCAACACUUAUAUGAGGUCUUGUAGUUUGAGAUUUAAUGGGUCUCUCUUUCCUAGCCUGCGCAAUGAAAAAGCAUGUAUAUCACUUGGUUUAGUAGUUUGUGUUAGCAUUUUCGCUAUGUAGUUUCUCAUUUCAUUAUUAUUAGAACUUGAUUCAGCAAAUAAAACCGAAGAUGUCAAGUGCCCUGAGGAAUGCCCUUGCAUAGGCAUAAGGACCGGUACAUUGAGUGUCUUAGAAAUCUUUUUCCUUUCAUUUUGUUAUACCUUUCCAUUGCAAUCUCAAAUAAAGUUGAUAAGUUGGUCUC